Molecule: ribosomal RNA, 433 nt
Filed under: uncultured bacterium
Lineage: Bacteria
Description: partial 16S ribosomal RNA
Rfam family: Bacterial small subunit ribosomal RNA
Source: RNAcentral
AACGAACGCUGGCGGCAUGCCUAACACAUGCAAGUCGAACGAGACCUUCGGGUCUAGUGGCGCACGGGUGCGUAACGCGUGGGAACCUGCCCUUAGGUUCGGACUAACUCCCCGAAAGGGGUGCUAAUACCGGAUCAUGUCUUCGGACCAAAGAUUUAUCGCCUUUGGAUGGGCCCGCGUUGGAUUAGCUAGUUGGUAGGGUAAAAGCCUACCAAGGCGACGAUCCAUAGCUGGUCUGAGAGGAUGAUCAGCCACACUGGGAGUGAGACACGGCCCAGACUCUUACGGGAGGCAGCAGUGGGGAAUAUUGGACAAUGGGCGAAAGCCUGAUCCAGCAAUGCCGCGUGAGUGAUGAAGGCCUGAGGGUAGUAAAGCUCUUUUACCCGGGAUGAUAAUGACAGUACCGGGAGAAUAAGCUCCGGCUAACUCCGUG